GUUUCUUCCGCUGGGGUCGUGCCUUGCUACGACUUUGUCGUGGUCUUUCCCUUGUGCGUUGGAAGGCUUCCUCUAGGACUUUUCCUCACCUCUUCAGGGGAGCUGGCGACCGAUCUGAUUGGUAGAACUGGGAAGAAUGAACUGGGAAUGCUCCAUUGAACUCAGGCCCUUUCUUUUUAGGGGUGACUUGUGUCCCACUCGCACCUGCCCCCCCAGCAAUGUCUUAGACCGGGCUCUGUGCUGCUGAGGGUGAUGCAAAGCCCCAUCCGUCUCUGUCUCUCCGAGCGCCUGAUGCCCAGCUGAUGAUUAAGAACACGGGGUGGACGGGCGGCUCCCUAGCUUACCCAGCUGCCGCUUGGCCUCUGCCCAGGUGGGCUCAUUGCCUCGGAGAAUCAUGACUGCCUGCAACACCAUCUCCACUUGGGCAGGCGGCCGUCCGUAAGACUUGAUCUCUCCGAUAUCCUUCUUGUUCAGAGACUCCAGGGCCUGGGGAAAGAGAUGAACUUGGGGAGCAGAAUCAGCUCAAGGGGCCAGACCGGUCCUUGAUGGAGACAGGACCCAGCUGCAGCGCCCUCUUGUCCCCACCUCUCCAAGGACUUGAAGAACAAAGAAGGCAGCCCCAUUCCCCUCCUGGGCCCUCCCUCCAGUCCCUGUACCCGCAUGGCCUCUUCCAGGGCUGGCAAUGCCUCUUCUAGAUCCUUCUGGGCAUUGUCAGCCAGGGCCUGGCACUUGACUUCCUCAAUCGCAAUCUUCUCACUAUUGGCUGUGACGGCCUGGGGAUGAAAAGAAGAUGAGGGUUUGCCUGCACCUUGAGCAAAAGCAGCUGGUAACGAUGAAAGAGAAGGCUAAAGAAAACGUGAGGCAUGGACCACGCAGCCCCCGCCUUGGUGACGGCGGUGGAGGCGGGGCCCCCCGUCUGCGGGGAGCAGGGGGUGCGAGGGGCAGGACCCGUGCUGGGCGGGGGCACCUUCUGCUGCUCAUCCGCCUCCCGCUUCUGCUGCACAAUGAUGACCAGGUACUCCUCACACUGCUUCUGGAACUCGGCCACCUUUUUCUUGGCAUCCUCCAGCUCCAGCGACAUCACUUCCACCUUUUCCCUGGUUUCAUCGAUCUUAAACAACCCGGUCCGCAGCUUAUUGGCCUGGUCCAGCAGCUCCUGCCGCUUCUCUGCCAGCAACCUGGGGGACCGAGUAGGGAGAGGUGCCUGGGGGGGCUGGGCCCCCGGGAAGGAGAGGCCCACAGUCUCCCCUCCCAGCGCGGCUCCGGUCCCUGCCUGCCUGCCUGUUGCCACCACCACCACCUCCCUAGUCAGAGUUUUAUCAUUUCCUGCCUGGAUCCUUGCCGACAGCCUCCCAACUGGUCUUCCUGCUUCCAGACUCUUGUCCUUCGGAUUUAUUCUACGCACCACUGUCACCACACACGCUGUCAGAAGGAGCUUGCUAGCUACUGUUUUCAUCACACUACUUCCCUACUUGAGACUCCGCCACCGUCCCCCGCUGUGCAGCAGGCAGGGGGGCUGCAAUGAACCAGAAAACACAAACCUCUUCCAAGGGGGCGGCCGUCGCUGGGCUCCAGCCUGGUUUUUUAUUUUCCCUUUGAGAAUGAAUGUGGGCUCAGUACUGCCACAAUUUCUGAUUUUUUAAGAGGCUGGAAAUCUGGAUUUUUCCAAGGCUCUCACGUUUUAAAUGUUGGCAACUCGUUCCACACGUUUUAACACUGCACCAGCCAAGAAAAGAAUGUCUCUGCAGGGUUGUUUUCUGGACUAAGUAAGAAAACGCACGUAAAGGGUAACUUAGCACAGGGACUGGGGACAGUAAACAGGAUGUGAGCCCAUGUACCCAGGAAAGGCAAGGACUUUAUUUGAUUUUUUUUAAAUGUUCUCACUGAUGGAAUCAAAUUUCAUUUCACUUCAUUUAUUUUUGUGGCUGCUCCUGUGGCUUAUGGAAAUUUCUGGGCCAGGGAUCAAACCUGCACCAGAGCAGCAACCAGAGCCCCAGCAAUGAUGAUGCUGGAUCCUUAGCCCGCUGAGCCACCAGGGAACCCCAAGGACUCUAUUUUGUCGAUGGUAUAUAUAUUAUGAGUACCCGGAAUAGUGCCCGGCACACAGCAGGUGCUCAAAACACAUGUUAAAUGAACAAAUUAAUAUUGGUCAUCAGUAUUUAUUACAAAAGGCUUUUUCUUCACCUAGAUUAAAAUACUAAAUC
RNAcentral lists this long non-coding RNA (2204 nucleotides) under Sus scrofa (pig). RNAcentral describes it as "lncRNA (ENSSSCG00005040881.1)". Lineage: Eukaryota; Metazoa; Chordata; Mammalia; Artiodactyla; Suidae. The record is from RNAcentral.